Molecule: ribosomal RNA, 364 nt
Filed under: uncultured bacterium
Lineage: Bacteria
Description: bacterial SSU rRNA
Rfam family: Bacterial small subunit ribosomal RNA
Source: RNAcentral
GAUAAACGCUGGCGGCGUGCCUAACACAUGCAAGUCGAACGAUCCCGCAAGGGAGAGUGGCGGAAGGGUGAGUAACACGUGGAAUCUACCUCCUCGCAGGGAACAACCUCUCGAAAGAGAGGCUAAUACCCAAAGGGUCAGAAAUGAUCAGAGUCGAAAGGCGUGAGGAGAGGAGCCCGCGGCCCAUCAGCUAGUUGGUGAGGUAAUGGCUUACCAAGGCUACGACGGGUAGGGGAUCUGAGAGGAUGUCCCCCACACUGGAACUGAAACACGGUCCAGACGCCUACGGGUGGCAGCAGUGAGGAAUAUUGGACAAUGGGCGAAAGCCCGAUCCAGCAACGCCGCAUGGAGGAUGAAGGCCUUC